Molecule: long non-coding RNA, 2319 nt
Filed under: Zostera marina
Lineage: Eukaryota; Viridiplantae; Streptophyta; Magnoliopsida; Alismatales; Zosteraceae
Description: long non-coding RNA (ZMAR_LNC005788)
Source: RNAcentral
UAAUUCGAGUUUUUUUUCUCCGGUCAGUUCAUUAUCGGGAUCGGUAAACAGUAAUCAAAAUGAAGAAGAAGAAGAAGGAGAAGGUAGUAGUAUAUAUGCACCGUACGAGCAUGAGAGAAGCCGGAGUGUGACGGAUGCGCGAAGUAGGAUCGCCAAGGAGAUCGGUGAAGAGCGAAACCUUCCCGGUUCCGACGUCGCAGAUAGUCUCGACAGCCUCGACUCCGGGACAAUCUCUCUCUGGAUCGAACACUCUAACCGCUACAUGGUAAUCCAUAACUGACUGUACGUUUUUCUUUUCUUUUCUUCUUCCUUUUCCUUUUUUAGUUCUUAAACCGCAAGAUUAACUAACCGGCCUUCGCUUAAUCUGGGUUAUAUGAAGAGGGAAGAAGGAAGGGGAGAAAAGAUGGGUUAUGGAAUAGAAUCUGGCAGUAGUGGUGAUCUCUUUUUUGGACUGUUCUAGUACGUACGUUUAUCACAAUUUGUAGUGGGUUCCUCCUGUUGAUAAAGACUCCUAGAGGGGUUUGGAAAUUGGAAUGAGAGAUUGUGAGAAAAUCACACCACACCCUGAUUGAAUGAUUGGAUGAUUGAUUGGGCAAUUUGGGCAUGGGUUAACUACUUAUUUAUACCCAAAUAUUCCCCUCACCAUACACUUAGGGAUUACCUACGACAGAUAGAUCAUCCUCCCACAUGCUUUUUUUUAAUACCCACAAUCUCAUUUCAUUUUAGUUGUUUCUGAUUAUUUAAGUUGUUUGUAAAAGAUUAGCUUAGCUGACCACUUGAAAAUUACUUGAGUUAUUCUCUUUGUGAUUUUAUCAGACAGAUAAAUUAACCUAUAUACAGAAAUAUUGUGUUUUCUAAUAAAAGAGAUUAGCUUGAACUCUAAAUUUUCAGAAACCUUAAUAGUUAAGCAUUUAUAUACAGAAAGAGUUUGAUUCAACUGAUAACAGUUAGUUACUAUUAUACUUUCUGAUAAAAGAGAUUAACUCAAACUCUGGAUCUUCAGAAACUUUAAUGGGUAAUGCAAGAAUCAGUUGAGCUAUUUUCUUUGUGAUUUUAUCUAGUAUUUAAGUUGUUUACAAAAUAUCUAAGCAUUUACAUAUAGAGAUUAACUCAACUGAUAACAGUUGCUCUUAUGUUUUUUUCUGAUAAAAGAGAUUAACUCGAACUCAGAAACCUUAAUAGUUAAUGUGAUCAGUUAAACUAUAUUACUUUAUGUGAUUUUACCUAGUAUCUAAGUCGUUUACAGAAUAUCUAAGCAUUUACAUAGACAGCUAGAUGAACUCAACUGAUGACAGUUACUAUUAUGUUUUCUGAUAGAAGAGAUUAACUCGAACUAUGGAUGGACCUUUAAAAAUCUUGAACUAUUAUUCUCUUUAUGAUUUUAUCUAGUAUUUAAGUCGUUUACAAAAGAUCUAAGCAUUUGGCAUAGAGAGAUUAAGUCAAUGACGGUCGAAACUUCAUGCUAGUGUUUAUAUAGUUACUAUUAUAUAUGGUUCAUGAUAAGAGAUUCUGAUGUCAACUAGCUUGGAUGACAAUGACAGUCGAAAGUUUAGGCUAGCGUUAAUCAUAUUGGAAAAGAAGUCGGCACGAUUAAGUACUUACGAAGGAAGCUGCCGACAAGGCCACACUAGUCAAUUGAUCAUUAUCAUCAGGUAUGAAUAUGAUAUGUAUUCUUUAGUCGAAAUUGAUCAUGAAUCGAUCUUAAAAGUUGUGGAUCGUUAAUUACGGCUUUAAUCAAGAAUAAUUAGAGUGUGUGAAAGUAGAACAUGUAGUUUUCAUGUGACUAGAUAUUGGGUUGGAUUAGGUUACUUCAAUGUUGAUAGCUCAACAAACUAACUUAAUUAAUUAGUUAAUUAAUCAUCAUCAUAUAGAUAAUUAAUUAUGGUUGAUAUUGGUGUUGAUAAAUUCAUCAUGUCCCUCUCUCAAUCUAUGGUAAUGGUUGUAUGGUUCAAGUUUCACAAUGGCACAAAGCACCAUUGAAAUCAAGAUGAUAGCCCCUAUGCCCGUGUCUUUGCCCAAAACAACAGCCCCACAAGCUAAGCUAAGCCGAUUGAUUCUUCGGCCGACCAUGUUAAUUUAUUAUAUGAUGAAGAGAAAUUAAUGCGGCCACGGCUUUUCCUACUGGAAUGGUCGUCGGGACACAUUGUUUUAUACUUUAUAAAGUGCAUAGUUUAGCGACAUUCGUGAUUAAAUUAAUCGCAUGUUUAAUAUAUUUUAUCUACUGGGAAAGACGAGGAAAAUUGGAAAAAGGUCAUUCUUAUCAGAUGUCUAAUGAAAUGACGUAAUCGAAUGACGUAAGAUCGAUUAAUCCUAAAAUUU